This 6106-nucleotide unclassified non-coding RNA is filed under the name Limulus polyphemus (Atlantic horseshoe crab). RNAcentral's name for it is "docking protein 2-like, transcript variant X2". Lineage: Eukaryota; Metazoa; Arthropoda; Merostomata; Xiphosura; Limulidae. The record is from RNAcentral.
AUGAGCUACUGGUAACAAGUUGACUGUAACUUUGAAUAAAUAGGAUAUGGGAUGAUAUUUAGUACCAAUACCAUCAACGCUGAAGCAGUAGAUGUAGAGUGUUAUUGUAAAAUUAUGACGUGUACGAUUUUAAUUAUUUAGCAUAUAUUUUAAGUAAUGGAAGUGUUGAAACUUUAUUUGCAUAUUUUUGGAUAAUUGUAGAAAUAAAAUUAUGGAGAAAGAAGAAGCUAUACUAACUGGAUAUCUUUGGACUCCACCACAAGGAAUAAGUCUUUUGAAGAAAACUUGGAAGAAAGGAUUCUAUGGUCUCUACACAGCAAGCAAACGUGGAAUCCAGAGGCUGGAAAGUUUUGAAACAGAAGAGCAAUUUUUGCGGCAAGCCCCUAAUAAGAUUUUUAUCCUUACUGACUGUGUAAAAAUCACUGCUGCUCCCCAGAAACAACAAGCAAAUGUUUUUGAGGUGAGGACAAAAUGUCACACACACAUAUUUUCAGCAGAAAGUUUCCAAGAGAUGACGAAGUGGAUCACUUGUCUGCAGAGUGUUGCUUUUGGUAUUCCUUUACCAUCAUCCUCUUCCAGUGACCAACAAGAUACUUGUUCAAACCAACACAAUCCACAAUCCAGUAGUUCUGGUGUACACCAAGAGGAGAACCUACUGUAUAGUUCUAUGAAUGCUCCUGAAGUUUACGAAGUUCACAUUGUAGAAACAGAAGCUUCUAGUCGGUGUACAUUAUUGGGUGAUUACUAUUUAAUUGUCACUUCUGUAAAUAUAUCCUUAGGAGAAAAGGGUCCACAAGGUCAGGUAGGUCGCGUACUAUUCACUUGGCCAUUUCGACACAUCCGUCGCUAUGGAAGUAGCCCAACAAAAUUUUCCAUUGAAGCUGGUCGGAAAUGUACUUCUGGUGAAGGACUGUUUAUAUUUGAAACAAAAGAUGGAAAUGUUGUAUUUCAGAGUGUUGCAGCACAUGUUAAUUUGUUGAAAAUGUCUCGGAGUGAAGUUAAUCUCUUGGAAAAUUUUAGUGGUGGCUCAGGACCCACUUACUUUGGGAAACAGGCAGCUGCUAGCCAUGAGAAUCUCCACAUGCUUACUCAAGUGGGGAAAGUCUGCCCAGGAGUGAUCAAGGAUACCUACCCAUAUAAUAAAACUACCAAGAGCUCUCCUGAAAGCAUUUUCCAUGAAUUCAGAAAUGAAGAUCAAAAGAGUAAGAGUCUUAAACCACUUCCUCCUAUAACGAAACCUCCAAGAAAAAGUAAAGGACUUACUGGCAAAAUAACACCAACCAAAGACAUGGCAAAACCGAUACCUAAAGUAGAACAUGUAUAUGAUGAACCUGAUAGUUCAAACACACAGUUUGAUGUCCAUGAAUUACAAUACGUUGAACCUCUGUAUGAUGAACCAGAAGAAAAUGAACAAAAACAAACUAUAGGAGAGAAUGAACAAGAUGAGGUAGAUGGGCAGUGUGAAGAACCCGUUUAUGCUGUUCUUGAAGAAAAUGCAAAUAGACAAGAGAUUAGUAGUGAACAAAAAGAUGGUAGUCUAGCUGAGAUAAGGACACUGUUAGUAACAGAUGUACCCAAAGACAUCGGCAGUCUUUCACUAAGUAGGAAAGUCAUUUCUGCAAAAGGAGCUAAUACAAUAUUUCAACAGAACGAGAAAGAUUUGGGUGGAAGAUAUGCUAGUUUGAAUCCUACAAAGAGGCACAUCUAUGGAAAAAUAAAUCCUAUUAACAAAUCUCCUGCAGCCAACAUUGGAAGUGAGUUGGUCAGCCCAAUUAAUCAGUCUACUGUGUGGUACUCAGAAGUGGAAGUUGCACGGCACAGUCGAGAUGAGGGGGAGACAACCAAGAAACAAAACGUUAAUCCAUUGGUGGGUGUUGAGUAUGCAAAUAUGAUUGCCUCUCAAGGACCAACUAGAGAGCUGAUGGUUCUCCAAGAUCCAAACCAUGAGUCUUCCAAUGACAGUGUUCCUUCACAUUUCAUGUACAAUGAUACUGAAUAUGCACAGGUACUUAAAAAGACUGGAAAAGUUAAGUGAAAAUUUGUGGAAUCAGUUUAUAGAUAUACCUUAAAAAAAAACUGAAAUUUUCUUAUUGGAUGUUAUUAUUUUAUUUUGCUUAGUGAUAUUAUCAGUGUAUCUUUCCUGACAAAUUAUUAUGAAAGUAUGGAAUAUCUGAAAAUAAUACAACGAUUAUGCACAGUGAUUUACUCAUCAGAAUUGCACUGUUGCUUGAACUGGUGGUCCUUGAGAUAUUACCCAUGCUGCUUAUUCAACCUUCUUACUAUCUUCUACCAUAUAUGAUGGAAGGAUUUCUAGAGCACUCCCAAGAAGUUGUGCAGUUUUCACUAUCAUCUUAUAUGUUUAGUUAACGGAAUGCUCAGGACUUUGUUUCCAAACAUCACCAAAAUUAUUCAUACAAAAUCUAGUUUUUAUUUUGAAAGUUUUAUGUAUAUAGCUGUUGAUUUUCUUUUCUUCAUUCACAAAUUUUGAGAAAUUUUUGCGGUUGUCAUAAAUUUGAAUAAUCUUUUAUUUUAUAAAUUUUCUAUUUACCUAAACCUACAAAUUAUAAUUUUAUAUUUUGAUACAAGCAAGCAGCCUUGUAGUGUUUUGGAAUUUCUAGCAAAAAAUAAAAUAAUUCCAAGAAUUUAAUUCUUCACGAUCCUUUAAUAUUGUUUGUUCAACAUGUUUACCUAUAAUCUUGUAGCUAACAGUUUGUGCUUUGCUUAAAAUUAAUUUCCUUUUGAUGAUCCCCAAACAAGAUCACGUGUAUACAAGUGCUGUCAUUAACCAGUUGGUUUUUUGUAUUUCUUCUGCAGAUAUUUCAAGGAUGCUCAAAAACAGGUUAUGUGUAUUGUAUACAGAAUUUAGUGAUAACUAGUCUAAAACAAUUUUGGUGUGGACUGUGUGGCCACCUGUAUUCACCCACCUGGCAAACUGUGCUAUGCAAUGAAAAUUUGUCAUUGAAUAAUAAGUUUUAUGUGGAUUAUAAGGGUUAAUAUUUAUAAUAAUUGAUUCAGUUUCAAUUGCAAUAUUUUGCCAGUGAAAAUGGCUAUGUAACAAAAUAUAACAUAAAUAGUAUCUCUAGAUUGCAACCAGAAUUCUUUUUUAUAUUAUAAACUUCAUUAGGGUCUGACUUUUUUCACUAUUUAUAGCUGUAUAUGAUUGAAUGCUCAUUUUUGUAAGAAUAUGAAGGAUAAACCAGUCUGAUGAAGAAGUAUCAUCUUCUUGAUGAUCAUGUUGAGCCUUUCCACUAAGACUGAAUGCUAUAACUUGCUUGUUUGAGCUUUAUUGUUAGUAGUACUCUACAGUGGUCAAAGUCCAGCUGAAAAGUUUAACUGGUAUCAGGUUAUUUAAGGAUCCAAGGUUACAACCAAGUAGUGUGUUGUGAUAUUGUUCUGUUGUAGAGCGAUUCCUUGAUUUCAGAUCUAGUCCGAGUUUUAAGAAUAACAAACACAGCUCUGAUUCACCCAGAAAUUUUAGAUCUGGUUUGCACUUAGACAUAUACUGUUGCCUAGGGCCUUCUGACCUUUUAAGUAGUGUGUUUUCAUAUGGAUAUUAAACUUUAAUAAAACUAAUAAACACUGUAGGUUCUUAUAUUUUGUUCACAUCAUAACCUUUGUUGCAACAAUCACCUUCGGUCAUAGGUUUCAUUUAAAUGAUAGUUUAACAUGUACUUAUAACUUAGCAACAUCUGUAGAUCUAAGUUCGGUUUUAAUAUUUGAGAUAGCUAUCUGUAUCUUGUUUACACUUCAGCAUGAAUGAAUUAUGGUAUAAUUACUUUUGAGAUUACUCAUCUACUUGCAUGAAAUAAAAACAAUUCUUCUUUCUAAGGAGAGUUAUAAGUAAUGCAUGUAAAUUGAAUUGUAAACAAUAUCAUUAGUCUUUGUUUUUAGCCAGUUAGUGUGAAGAAAAUUAUUAUAGGAAAGUAGUGUUGAUUUUGACCAACUUGUAUGUAAAAUAAUAUAGAAAAGCCGUAUUUUUGUUACUGUCUUGUAUGAUAAUGAAUACAAUAAAAAAUAGUGUUUUUUAACUCAUUAUUGUGAAAAAGAAUAUUAUUAGAAACUAACAUUCUCUUGUGUGGAAAACUAAUAUUGGAUAACAGAGUUUACUAACCAUUUAACUUUUAAGUUACAAUCAUUAUGAAAAUUAUUAGAGGAUUACAUGUAGCAUUUCAUUAGCUUCAGGGGGUGGCAGGUUGGCAUGAGUGAGGAUGUAUGCCAACUGUAUUUUCAAGUGUACUGAAUAUUGACACAUUUAUCUAUAAAUUCCUCCCUAUUGGUCAAUGCCUUCAUAUUAAUGUAACUAUUUCAAUAUAUUAUCUAAUUUGUAAUUGAAAUGUCCCAAAGUUACAUAUGGGCUAAACCCAAGAACUUCUGGAAGUUUAAUAACAAUCAGAGCUGGUAAGAGACACAUGUUGAGACAGUUACAAAGAGGAAAAUGUAUGUGUUAUUUCACCGAAGUUAUCGUAAAAUAUACACAAGUCAUAAUUUAAUAACAUCGUCAUAGGCCCCCAGUGGCAUGUCUGCAAGACUUAUACUGCUAGAAACUGGGUUUUGAUACCUGUGGUGAGCAGAGCACAGAUAAUCCAUUGUGCAGCUUUCUGCUUAACUACAAACAAACACAUCAUCAUAGACAUUUAUAAUAACAGUAAUAAGGCUCUGACCAUCCACAACAAGAUGUAGCUCUCUGUCAGAUUAUUAUGAUCGUGACUUGGUUUUUACCUACCACUGAUGCACUGGCAAGGCAUGUUAGCAAGCAUGUUUGUUGAUGUGAUUCAAAUGUGUGAGUUGCUCUAACCUCCAGACUCUGUGCCAGACCUUUCAUAGAUAUCUGUAGUAAGUUUAUACUGUUGAAUACUGGUCACAUUCCCUUUCACUGUGACAUUCCAAACUUCAAUUGCUAUUUGUCAUUUAAUUUCACAGUGAUGAAGCAGUAGUAUGAAAAUAGCACAAUAUUGUACAUGUUUAAUAUUUUCUUAGCGAGAAAGAGUAACAGCAUGUAAACUGACCAGUAGUAGAUAAUUUCUCAGUAGACUGACAAAUGAGUCAGAAAGUUUGUAUAUAUAUUUGAAGUUCAAAUUUAAAACAGACCAAAGUGUCAAUUGUUGCUGCAAUAUUUUCAUUAUGAAAGACCAGAUUUUGUUCUUUGGGCAUUAUUAGCAUUUGAUAAGCAUUGAUUUUGUUCAGUUGUUCAACUGUGGCAUCUGGCCGUAGCAGUUAGAUAAUUGGAGAUGGUAUUGAGAUACCGAAGUUUAGGCCUCAUCUAUGCUGGCAACUUAGCUUGUAUAGGAGUGGUAUGUCCCCUACAUUUUCAGGCCUCAUUUUUGAAAUUAGAAUUAACAUAGUUAGUAGCUGUCUGGGUAGAAAACAAAUUAUCCUGUGGUUAUAUUCCCAUUGAUAUAGCCAAUCAAUAGUUGACAGGUGAAUAUGAAUGUCUUUGAUCAGUUCUAUUUCUCACUAUAUAUCUCAUCAUUUUGGGUAAGAGAUUGGAGUUGGUGACCCUCUUCUGGGUGUUCGGUAAGUCUUCCAUGUAAGUUACAGGACCGUUCUUAUCUUAUUAGUUUUUGUCGGUGCCAAAGAAGAAAAAAAAAUGCCUUUCUCAAAAUAUUUUAGUAAUUUCUAACCUUUGCUAGAGUUGGAUGUUUAACAUUUAUUUGCUUUCUGUAUGUCUCUGCGAGGUUCUGUUUUAUUGGAUAGCAGGUUGCAAGACAACUACAUAUUGCAUAUUUUAGUAUGCCAUGGAUGAUAUUAGGAGUGCAUAUAUCAGGUAUUUUUGGUGAUCAUAUUUAAUGCAUUUAACAACAGAUAUAUAUAUUGUUACAUAGUGUAAACAUUACAGGUUUGAAAUGUAUAGUGGACUGUUCUUGUCUUCUUUCUUGAUGGGAUGACAUUGUAUUCUCUGUGAAGGAGCCUUCAAUAAAGAAACUGUCAAGUUAUCCAACUCAAGAAGCAAGGUGAAAGUAGUCCAUUAAAACCCCACAAAUCUAUAUGUUUAUAUAUUAUUGUACACUAAAAGGGGUUAAUUAUUAGAAACAAGUGAUAAGAUUUUUCAUUACUUGUAUAUUUUUAUUUUCAAUAUUAAUAAAUUUAUAGUGUUCAAGAAGCAAGG